UACGAAGGGGGCUAGCGUUGCUCGGAUUGACUGGGCGUAUAGGGCGCGUAGGCGGCUUGGCAAGUGGAAGGUGAAAUCCCUCGGCUUAACCGAGGAACUGCCCUCCAAACUGCUUUGCUUGAGGCCGGGAGAGGUAAGUGGAAUUCCCAGUGUAGCGGUGAAAUGCGUAGAUAUUGGGAGGAACACCAGUGGCGAAGGCGGCUUACUGGACCGGUUCUGACGCUGAGGCGCGAAAGCGUGGGGAGCAAACGGG
This 253-nucleotide ribosomal RNA is filed under the name uncultured bacterium. Its description in RNAcentral is "partial 16S ribosomal RNA". It matches the Rfam family "Bacterial small subunit ribosomal RNA", at positions 524 to 776 of the family's 1533-position model. The record is from RNAcentral.